Molecule: ribosomal RNA, 342 nt
Filed under: Triticum aestivum (bread wheat)
Lineage: Eukaryota; Viridiplantae; Streptophyta; Magnoliopsida; Poales; Poaceae
Description: partial small subunit ribosomal RNA
Source: RNAcentral
AUGACUGGUCAAAAUUCCCUUCGAUGCCCAGCCACGCCAUCGCCCUCCAUCUCCCCCGCCGGCAACCAGCGAGCCCAACCACGACGCUCAACUGUCGCGCCGUCCUCGAUCUGGAUGGAGCCGCCGCCGCCGCCGCGCCGUCCUCGAUCUAGAUGGAGCCGCCGCCGCGCCGAUCUCGAUCUGGGUCGAGCCCCCGCUAAGCUGACCUCGAUCUGGAUCGAGCCGCCGCUGCUCUCUCUCCUCUUCUCCGCCCCACGACGGUGGCAAACUGCGGCAGGGGGGGGAGGCCAACGGCGACUACCACACGCUUGGAGGGUGGGGGAUGGAGGGGCGCACGUAUGA